This 232-nucleotide ribosomal RNA is filed under the name uncultured bacterium. RNAcentral describes it as "partial 16S ribosomal RNA". It matches the Rfam family "Bacterial small subunit ribosomal RNA", at positions 118 to 350 of the family's 1533-position model. The record is from RNAcentral.
UGGGCAACCUGCCCCUCUCUCUGGGAUAACCCCGGGAAACCGGAGCUAAUACCGGAUACUCCGGCUGGAUCGCAUGGUCCGGCCGGGAAAGGUCCGCCGGAGAGGGAUGGGCCCGCGGCCUAUCAGCUAGUUGGUGGGGUAACGGCCUACCAAGGCGGCGACGGGUAGCUGGUCUGAGAGGAUGGCCAGCCACAUUGGGACUGGGACGCGGCCCAGACUCCUACGGGAGGCA